This 72-nucleotide transfer RNA is filed under the name Ictidomys tridecemlineatus (thirteen-lined ground squirrel). RNAcentral's name for it is "Spermophilus tridecemlineatus (thirteen-lined ground squirrel) tRNA". It matches the Rfam family "tRNA". From Rfam's summary of the family: Transfer RNA (tRNA) molecules are approximately 80 nucleotides in length. Their secondary structure includes four short double-helical elements and three loops (D, anti-codon, and T loops). The record is from Rfam by way of RNAcentral. Lineage: Eukaryota; Metazoa; Chordata; Mammalia; Rodentia; Sciuridae.
GGGGCUGUAGCUCAGUGGCAGAGUGCUUGCCUAGCAUGUGUGAGGCACUGGGUUUGAUCCUCAGCACCCCCU